Molecule: long non-coding RNA, 228 nt
Filed under: Elaeis guineensis (African oil palm)
Lineage: Eukaryota; Viridiplantae; Streptophyta; Magnoliopsida; Arecales; Arecaceae
Description: long non-coding RNA (EGUI_LNC049763)
Source: RNAcentral
AUUCAUUGAUUAACAAAAAAAUCUUCUAAGAAUACAACGAAGGUCUUGCAUUAGGAUUUCACCUGAGUGUUGUUGCCUUUAUUCGUAUAAGGUCCACGGAAUGUCGUUUGCACUUGAAACAUCCCACUUGCACCAUCGAAUCUGUUACAUUAUAGGAUGUGGCUUUAGAUUGGUUGGCAAUCAAUCGAGUUGUAGCAAAAGGGAUAAAUCUUUCACCUCUAUGUAAUG